Long non-coding RNA from Peromyscus californicus insignis, 2189 nucleotides. RefSeq lists it as uncharacterized. The record is from RefSeq and is a predicted model, not a curated record. The transcript has 3 exons. Lineage: Eukaryota; Metazoa; Chordata; Mammalia; Rodentia; Cricetidae.
CGCCGUCCCCGACUCCAGCCGCCCCCGCGGGGGGCUCUGCGCGGUCACGGGACCCGCCGCCUUCUCUGCGCCGGUUCCGGGCGGCCGCGGCCAGAGCGAGGACAAGCGAACACCUGACAUUGUAGCCCAGGCUAGCCCAGAACUAAUUAUGCAGCUUAGGCUGGACUCCGACUCCAGGAAAUCUUCCUCUUCAGACUCCAGAAUGUUGGGAUUCUAGGCUGAGCCAAAACACCAUCAAUUACAUUUGAGAUGGGGCCAGAAGAGGGCACCAGAUCCCCUGAAACUGGAGUCAAGGACAGUUGGAAGCUGCCAUUGUGGAUGUUGGGAGCCAAACUCAGGUCCUUUGCAAAGACAGCAAGCGCUCCUAACCUCCAAGCCAUCUCUUCAUCCACACAGCAAUUUUACAAGACAUCUCAAGCACCUUUAGAGACCUCCCCUCACUUGCCUUACCCAGUACCUUUCUCCAGCCAGGUGCCUGUGGUGGAGCGUCACUGCUUGAACAGCAAGUGCAUUCUUGGACCACAGAGCAACGUUUUCAUCAGUGACAGGCCAUGCAUACCGUAAAUGCAAUAGUCUCAUAAGAUUCUGCUGGAGCUGAAGAGAAUCAGAAUCUACAGAAGAAAAAGAAAAUCCAAGAAGCACUCAGCAGAAGUUUGCAGACCUCAGCAAGCUCCUUCACUCGGCUCUCAGAGCUCAGAAAUGGCAGGAUUCGGUGCAACAGAAAACUUUUUGGUAGAAUAUAAGUGCAGAGGAGAAGAAACUGGCCAAGCACAAAUAUAACACCAACACAUCAGUCAAACUGGAACUAGGGCCUCGGGUAACCCAUGCUGGCUUCACACCAGCUACAUAGUCAAGGAUGGCCUCCAACUUCCGGUCCCCCGUCUACAUUUCCACCAUUUGGAACUACAGUUGAGUACCACACUGCCUGAUUUCUAUGGUGCUGGGUCUCCAACCCAGGGUUUCAUGCAUGUUAGGGAAACAUUCUACCAAUUGAGCUACACCUCCAAACCUAUCUCUUUUUCAUUUCUAAAGGGACUGCCUUGCUGUUUCCAUCACUACCACAUCAUGGUACAUUUCGACAAACAAUGCACAGAAGCUAAAAACACUGAUUAGGCACAGGUACAGCAACACACAUUUGCAACCCAGCACUCAGGAGGUGAGACAGGAGUUCAAGGCCGGCUUCAGCUAUACAGUCAGUUUGAGGACAGCCUGGCCGACAAAAAAGCAAAACAAAACAAAAAAAACAAACAAAAAAGAAAACAAAACAAGCAAACAACUUGUCUAAAAAAUAUUGAAAAUAUUUUUUCUAACACAGAAGGGUCUCCCUAAUAGAAAAGGGUUUUGAUUUUUGUUGGGUUUUGUUUUGUUUGAGACAGGGUCUCACUAUGUAGCCCUGACUGACCUGCUUCUGCGGAGAUUAAAGGAGAUUAAAGGCAUGCACCACCAAGCCUGGGCCCUAACAGGGAGAAAUGUGACUGGUGCAUUGUCUGUUCAUUUGUUUAGUUUUGUUUUGAGAAGUCUGAACUAAGAUAUUCUGAGGUUCCUGAGACACAGGCAGUAAACACAGCUCAUAAACCCUUCACAAGGCCCCUCCCCAGGUUACAGUAACGGUGAAGAAGCCUGGGAAGAGGAGGAGGAGGCUCACGGACAGAGCUGCUGCAGGCUGGGGCAGAGGGCUCCAGGGAUGCAGCCUCUGUGACUUGCCACACAUCCUGGGACGGGCUUUUCGAUGAUGCACCCGCCGUUGGCUGGCCCUACUCCUGUAAGUAACCACAACCUGUUCAUUGGCUUGCCCAGGAGGCCUUAGUGGAAGGUUGGUACUGGUCUGUUCUUGGUGACCAUCUGGGAUGAAGAAGGGUUUGUUCAAUUAUCUGCAGGAAGUCUCACACCAAGGUCUCACUAGUAGGCUGGCCUCCGCAUCCUGCCUCAGUCUUUCAAAUUCUGGGAUUACAGGCCUAGGCAUUGUACCUGGCCACAGCCAAAUUUAUGAUGAGAAAGAGAAAUGGGGGCCAAAAAAAGAUCAUGAGAGCAUUUCUGAAAACAGCUGCUCUCGCCGGGCGGUGGUGGCGCGCGCCUUUAAUCCCAGCACUCGGGAGGUGUGAGUUCGAGGCCAGCCUGGGCUACCAAGUGAGUUCCAGGAAAGGCGCAAAGCUACACAGAGAAACCCUGUCUUGAAAAACCAAAAAAAA